GACGAACCUUGCUAACGUUAUUCGGAAUUACUGGGCGUAAAGCGUGCGCAGGCGGCUUACUAAGACAGGUGUGAAAGCCCCGAGCUUAACUUGGGAAUGGCGCUUGUGACUGGUAGGCUGGAGUGUGGCAGAGGGAGGUGGAAUUCCACGUGUAGCAGUGAAAUGCGUAGAGAUGUGGAGGAACACCGAUGGCGAAGGCAGCCUCCUGGGCCAGCACUGACGCUCAUGCACGAAAGCGUGGGGAGCAAACAGG
RNAcentral lists this ribosomal RNA (253 nucleotides) under uncultured bacterium. RNAcentral describes it as "partial 16S ribosomal RNA". It matches the Rfam family "Bacterial small subunit ribosomal RNA", at positions 524 to 776 of the family's 1533-position model. The record is from RNAcentral.